Molecule: ribosomal RNA, 498 nt
Filed under: uncultured bacterium
Lineage: Bacteria
Description: partial 16S ribosomal RNA
Rfam family: Bacterial small subunit ribosomal RNA
Source: RNAcentral
GAUGAACGCUGGCGGCGUGCCUAAUACAUGCAAGUCGAGCGAACAGACGAGGAGCUUGCUCCUCUGACGUUAGCGGCGGACGGGUGAGUAACACGUGGAUAACCUACCUAUAAGACUGGGAUAACUUCGGGAAACCGGAGCUAAUACCGGAUAAUAUAUUGAACCGCAUGGUUCAAUAGUGAAAGACGGUUUUGCUGUCACUUAUAGAUGGAUCCGCGCCGCAUUAGCUAGUUGGUAAGGUAACGGCUUACCAAGGCGACGAUGCGUAGCCGACCUGAGAAGGGGGAGCGCCACAACGGGACCGGGAACCGGGACAAGCCCCUACGGGGAGGCAGAAGGGGGAAAUCUUCGGAAAUGGGGAAAAGUUGGAAGGGGCAACGCGGGGGGAGUAAUAAAGGUCUGAGGAUCGAAAACCUGUUUUAUGAGGGAAAAAAAAAUGGGAAAGAAAAUAUGCACGUCUUGAGGGUACCUAAUAAAAAAGCCCCGCCAAACUACGUG